CAUACCAUUUGCAAAAGUAGACAACCCAGGGUAUUCAAUAUGAGGUAUGUCCAGUCUUUUUUAGUAGCCACUUAGUCACAAACACUGGCCACAGUUAGCAUUUACAUUUGUUUGUGUGUUAAAAAAGCAAAAAACAAUUAUGAAUACUAACUUUGGCCAGUGUUUGUGACUAAGUGGCUACUAAAAAAGACUGGACACACCCCAUUUACAAUACCUUGGGUUGUCUACUUUUGCAAAUGGCAUG
Molecule: microRNA precursor, 244 nt
Filed under: Pelobates cultripes (western spadefoot toad)
Lineage: Eukaryota; Metazoa; Chordata; Amphibia; Anura; Pelobatidae
Source: RNAcentral